CACCUCUCAGGGUCACACCUGGAGAGCUUCCAGUCCUCUACCAGUCUCGACUGUGAGAGGGAGAGUCAAGCAGAGGCCUGUCCAGUACAUUCCUAGCUUGGCCAGUGGCUAGCGAAUGGAAGACACUCUGCUAUGAGU
This is a small nucleolar RNA of Tachyglossus aculeatus (Australian echidna), 138 nucleotides long. Lineage: Eukaryota; Metazoa; Chordata; Mammalia; Monotremata; Tachyglossidae. The record is from RefSeq and is a predicted model, not a curated record.